GGUUUUUGAAUUAUUUAUUUCUUAAUUAAAGUCCCCUGAUUUAGGUUAAAUGUGCACUGGAACAUCUCCAUCUUCCUUCUCUUUUGUCGUUUGUAAUAUUCUCAGUGUUUUAUUCUGUCUUUUGUGUAUGAGGACUGAUCUGUGUAUUUAUCAAAAAAUGGAUUUGGUUUUUAGUGGCCUAUAUGUCUAUCCUUUUCUGAUCAAAAGUCAGACUAUUCAGGGUUAGGGUGAGGCUUAGGCUCAGGAAUGAAAUUUGAAAACGAGCAGAUUGUUAGGCUUAGGGUUGGGGUCAGGCAUGGGGUUGAAAGGUUAGGGUUAGGGUCAGUAGUGGGAUUCAAUCUGUGUAUCCAUUUGAACUCACUUCUUUUUCUUUGUUUACCUGUCCAUGCCCUAUUGGAUUCCAACCCUGAAAUUGUUAAAUGAUUUACACCGUGUUGUUUAAAAUGGUUAAUCAGUUUUGUAUUUUUGUUGUUCUUCUUGACGUCGUGAAGGUGUUGUUUUAACCUUACUACUAGUGCGUUUUUAGUUUCCCCAACAUAGCGUUUCCGGCAAUAUGCGCAUGUUAUACAGUACACUAUAUUGUUUGUGUUCAAGUUUAAAUUUUGUGUUAUGGGUGUGCCUGAAGCGUAUUUUAUUUUCCUAUAAUACACAUGCCACGGAGACCGCUGCCGGAGGGUUUUUGAGCUAAAUCUGGAGCGGACCAAGAUGUCCUUAAGGUUUUUGUUCUUUCUAUACGCUGAAAUGACUUUGAAUUUUUGCAAGACCGGUAGUUGGUGUUGAGUGCAUUCAAAAUUGUUUUUGACUUUUUUAUUUAGGGCUAGUGUUUGUUGAUUAUAGGUAGUUAUCAAUGGGAUGACUUGUUGGGGGCCCGGCAGCAGGGUGUCUGGAGGUGGAGUCUUUAUUUCCCUCAGUGUUGUGGCUUUGAUAGGUCUUAAAAAUCUACGACUGUAGCCCCUAUGUCUAAGGGCUUUGAACAGAACUCGAGCGGUGUCGUGGAAAUCGUUCUCAUCCGUACAAAUGCGAUAGAACCGUAUCAGUUGGGACUUGACUAUCCCUUUGAACGUGUGCUUCGGAUGAAAACUCAAUUUGUGUAGAAGACUAUGUGUAUCUGUAUUUUUGAAGUAUACUUUGGUCUUGAGUGCCCUGGACUGCUCAACAGGUUCACCCAAGAAAACCAUGGUGUCUAAAAACUGGAUGGAUUCUCUAUUAGCGUUAUGUUUUAUUGUGAUGUUCGGAUGAUGUGUGUUUGCGAGUAGAUCGAACUCCUCCAUUCCGUGUUUCCAAACCCCAAAGAUGUCAUCCAGGUAUCUGUAAUAAACUAGGGGCUUAAAUUUGCACCUGUCUAGAAGGGAUGUUUCCCAUUCCGCCAUGUAUAUGUUUGCAUAGGCAGGUGCAAAUUUUUUGCCCAUUGCUGUACCUUGAACCUGUAAGUAGAAUCGUGAAUCAAAUUCAAAGUCAUUCCGCGUUAGACCCAUUUCUAAGAGUUGUAAAAUGUUUGUCUGGUCUGUGCGGAUCCGGGUGAUUUCUGAAAGCGUUUUGGACAGCUUUUAGUCCUAAAUCCGUUGAUAUGUUUGUGUAUAAGCUGUUUGUCAAUUGUGAAAAGAAAUGAAUCGUUUGAGAUACUGAUAUUUUGUAUUUUGGCAAUGAAGUCAUACGUGUCUUUUAUGUAGCUGCGAUGUGUUUGUGAUAGCGGAUUUAAGAAGCUAUCGAUGUAUUGGGCCGUGCGGUAGGACUCACUCCCGCAGUCCGACACUAUCGGGCGGCCCCUGGGGAUCUCACCUGGGAUGGUCCAUGUUUCUGGUGCAGCAUGUAUUUUCAGUAAUAGGUAGAAUAGUCUAGGCCUGGGAACGUCUGGACCCAUUAAGUAGUGUUUCUGUUUCAGAUUGAUGUAUUUUUCUUGAUGCAACCCGUUCAAGACGUUUUGUAUCAUUAAUUUAGUCUCGGUUUGUAGUGAGUGUUCCAAAGGGAUGUAAUGGUCGGUGUUAUUCAAUUGCCUUUUAGCCUCGAACAUGUAUUGAGUUUUAUCCAAAAUGACAAUACCUGACCCCUUAUCCGCUGGUUUUAAAAUGAUGUCAGUGUUUGUUUUAAGUGAACGGAUUGCCCUUUUCUGUGCGGGUGAUAAAUUGUCCGAUGUUUUAAAGGUUCUGUUUGAGCCUAUGGCUCUGUGAUUGUGUUUAAUCAGUCGUUGAAUAUGUAUGUUACAUGCUGCAAUCAGGGGUUCCCAUUUGGAUGUCUCUACAAAUGGGGUGGUAUCGGUUUGUGUGUGGAAGUCAAAAUAAUUCAAGAUUUUUAACUUUCUAUUAUGCAGAUGGACAUCCCUCUUAAGAUCUCCAAGGUUCGACCCCCCCGGCGUCGGGAUGAAGGUCAGCCCCUUCUCCAGCAGCAGCCUCUCUCCCUGUGAUAAAUGAAAAGUUUUUGACAGAUUGAAGAUAUUGGAGUGCGACUGGUUGUUGCACGUCUCCGUCUUCAAUAGUUUAACUGAUUGCACCACCCAUCGAACAUGCGUUGUGCCGUCUCCGCGGUCCAGGGGAUAUGAUCUCUCUCGACCCUGAAAAACAAUCUCUUCAAUUCCCACAAUGGACUCCCGUGUGACACAAUGUAUUUAUUCAAUACCUCCAGAUUCUGCUGCUCCUGUAGAGUGGCGCCAUCUGUAUCGUCGUCCUCCCCCACAGGCGUGGUUGCUGGCCGGACCUGAGAGAGAUCAGGUAGAUUUAUUUUUACCGUGACUCUAUCCCGUUUAAGUUUGGGGUGUGUGUCUGGACUCACCUCUGGGGCGUGGACUUGGGCCUGGACUUUGAUUUGCCUGUGUCGGUGUCCAAGUCCCGCUAACGGGGCAACAGAUAUGGGCGAGUUAGAUUGUAAAUGGUGGAUCUGGAUAACAUUAUUCAAAGUGUGCUCAAUAGGUGGAUUGUAAAUCUGUGCCUGUGGAGAACCGGCCCUUUGAAGGGCAGUGGCGUGUGAAAUUGGGCCCGAUUUAUGUGAAGAAGCUGAUUGUUUGUGUUGUAUGUUAUCUUUACAGAACUCUAGCACGCUGUCUGUCAGUUUUUGUUUAAACCUAUGUCUGGCCCAUUUCACCGCCACUGUCUAUUCCAAUUCCCCGAAAAUCUGUAUGUCAUCCAUAAGGUUAUGUGUAACUUGUGUGUAAUGUUCCUGUAAGAUGAGCAUGUUAUUGUUCAUCCAUGUGAGUGUGUUUUGCUUGAUUUUUUGUGUGGUUGUGUCAUUAGGUGAUGCUGGUUUUAUGAAUUGUGUGAGUUUAUUGACCUGUCUGUACAUACCAGCCGGAUGGUUGUUUGUGUGCAGGGAGUGUUCCACUAUCUGCAUGUGGUGUGUGGCUUGUAUUAACUUGAAGUAUGUUUUUGUCAGUGUUUUAUCAAAUGUGUUGUGUUUGCUUGGUGAUGCUUGUGUUUGUGUAUUUUCCCCUUCCCCAAUUUGCUCAUGGUCUCCUAAAACAGCAAAUCUAUUGUGCCACGCCUUCAUUUUGUACCUUUCCGGUGAGCAGACUUCAACAGUGUCUGGUGAAAACAACAAUCAUCAACCACAUCACCAUAACAUAGACCGCUCUUACCCUACCAUCUGUUCGUCAGUCCUCAAUUGAGUGUUGUCCUUGGU
This is a long non-coding RNA of Ictalurus punctatus (channel catfish), 3609 nucleotides long. Lineage: Eukaryota; Metazoa; Chordata; Actinopteri; Siluriformes; Ictaluridae. The record is from Ensembl.